CAAUAGCGUAUAUUAAAGUUGUUGCAGUUAAAAAGCUCGUAGUUGGAUUUCGGGGUGGCCUGCCUGGUCCACCGCAAGGUGAGUACUGGUCAGCCGCCCUUCCUCCCGAAAGCCCCGACUGCUCUUCAUUGCAGUGGUCGGGUAGUUCGGGACGUUUACUUUGAAAAAAUUAGAGUGUUCAAGGCAGGCUAUCGCCUGAAUACAUUAGCAUGGAAUAAUGGAAGAGGACCUCGGUCCUAUUUUGUUGGUUUCUAGGGCCGAAGUAAUGAUUAAGAGGGACAGUUGGGGGCAUUCGUAUUUAAUUGUCAGAGGUGAAAUUCUUGGAUUUAUGAAAGACGAACUAGUGCGAAAGCAUUUGCCAAGGAUGUUUUCAUUAA
This 377-nucleotide ribosomal RNA is filed under the name uncultured eukaryote. RNAcentral describes it as "partial 18S ribosomal RNA". It matches the Rfam family "Eukaryotic small subunit ribosomal RNA", at positions 592 to 976 of the family's 1831-position model. The record is from RNAcentral.